AACCCUUGUCCUUAGUUACCAGCACGUUAUGGUGGGCACUCUAAGGAGACUGCCGGUGACAAACCGGAGGAAGGUGGGGAUGACGUCAAGUCAUCAUGGCCCUUACGGCCUGGGCUACACACGUGCUACAAUGGUCGGUACAAAGGGUUGCCAAGCCGCGAGGUGGAGGCUAAUCCCAUAAAACCGAAUCGUAGUCCGGAUCGCAGUCUGCAACUCGACUGCGUGAAGUCGGAAUCGCUAGUAAUCGUGAAUCAGAAUGUCACGGUGAAUACGUUCCCGGGCCUU
This 285-nucleotide ribosomal RNA is filed under the name uncultured Pseudomonas sp. Its description in RNAcentral is "partial 16S ribosomal RNA". It matches the Rfam family "Bacterial small subunit ribosomal RNA", at positions 1100 to 1382 of the family's 1533-position model. The record is from RNAcentral. Lineage: Bacteria; Pseudomonadati; Pseudomonadota; Gammaproteobacteria; Pseudomonadales; Pseudomonadaceae.